This 21264-nucleotide long non-coding RNA is filed under the name Coffea arabica (coffee). RNAcentral's name for it is "long non-coding RNA (CARA_LNC004944)". The stretch from base 5553 to 5634 matches the Rfam family "tRNA". Lineage: Eukaryota; Viridiplantae; Streptophyta; Magnoliopsida; Gentianales; Rubiaceae. The record is from RNAcentral.
GGUAAGAAAAUACUAGUACCAAGUAGCUAUGCUUAUGUUUUUGCAAGAUUUCCAUCGGUCAUUAACUUGAUUUUCUUAUUUUUCAAUAGAAAUAUCAUACGAUCUCCGUAAAUGAAUAGUAUGGAUUAUAGGAUGAAUUACAAAUGUUUGCCUGGUUGACAAUUAUUGUUUGCAGAGGACAAGGCAAAGGAACCCGAACAAUAUGGAGGUCGGUGUCGUUAUGGCUGCUGUGGUCGUCGGGGCCCCUAUGGUUGUAGUAAGUGCUGCAGAACAGGUAAUAGUUGCACCAUUCAAAGAAACAGGAUUUAAAUGCGUGAACAGUAUUUGUAACUUAAAAAGUUGUGUUGUCCAUGUAGCUAAUGAAGCUGAAGCAACCCAAGUAAACGCUGACAUCAAUGGCAAUGAAGGCGGUGGACAUGGUGGUGGCGGCGGCUAUGGAGGUGGUGGCGGCGGACAUGGUGGUGGCGGCGGCUAUGGAGGUGGUGGUGGUGGCAGCGGAGGUGGUCAUGGUGGGGGAGGUGGUCAUGGUGGUGGAGGUGGAUAUGGUGGGCACUGCAGGUACGGCUGUUGUGGUGGCUAUGGCAAAUAUUGCAGGUGCUGCUACAACCCUGAAGAAGCUCAAGCUUUUGUACAAAAUGAGAACUGAGCCAAGCCAUAAAUCAAGGAAACUUCCAUGUACAAGUUUGCGUGAAUAACUACAUGGUUGAAUGUUGAUCUUAUGACAAAAAUAAAAUACUUAGUACAUGUGCUUCUGUGCUUAGCACAUAUGUAAGGAAUAAAAAGUUUCAGUCAUCAUUUGAUGAUGUGAAUUUCAACAAGUGUCCUUCAAUCCCAUGCCUGGAUUUUUUUUUUUUUUUUUUUUUUUAAAUUUGACAUCUGCUACUUGUCAUGUUUGUCUUUGCUCUUAACAUUUGCACUUGAAUGCUCCAGUCAAAAUUUAAGUAAAUUUGUGAAAUAAAUAAAAAUAGCAACACCAGACCAAUCAUUCAUGAUAGAAGUAGGAAGUAGGAAGCCAGAGAGAUAAUUGGAAAGUACACUCGAUUAAAGAAAAAACAACGAAAGCCACAUAAAAUCAGAAAAAAAAAAUUAAAUCGAGUGUAAUUGGCAGGGUACGUAUUCAUGCCACUGAUGGAGGCAAUGUAGUUGCAGGAAUUGCUGGCUUUGUGGGCUAUGACCAUAUAGAGUUGUAAGUAAUUUCUCACAGUAAAUGUUCUGCUUGUUCGUGGAAACAAGAGAACUAAAGCAUCAUCAGGUUUGACAAAUGCAAGUGCACAUCUUUGGACUUGGGAGUUGGGAGGACUCGGGAGCUAAUACCUACAUAGAAAAUGGGCGAUGGAUGAAGAAAGGUGCUACAGACUUUUUAUGUCCUCCAAUGUGGGUGGCAGAAUACACUUUCCUUGAAGUUGAUCAGCGAGAUUACUUUUGUGAUUGCUGAAAUUCAUGACAAAACGGUUCAACAUCUUCAAUCACAAAUUCGUCGAACUGCAAUUAUAAUCUCAUUGGACCAAACUCGAGUAAGCAAAUCAAAUCAAAUCGCUAAUGUCACUUCUUCCAAGUAGCGCUGACAUUCUAAGAUUGACAAGGAAAUGCAGGCUUUGACUCAUCAUUUACUUAAAGCAGGAUACAACAGCAAAAGAAAUCCAGAAGCAAAGAAUAUGAAACUAACCUGAAAACAAAGAUUUAGUAUUUCACAUUUAGAACAGUUACACGCAAAUCAAAAACAUUUUUGCUGCAUUGGGUCGGUGAACAUCCGUACAAGCAUGUGUUACAACAAGAUGUAUACAGUCUCAGGAGUCAUGCUACUAAAGUUUGAUGCCCGAUGCUCUCAGAAGAUAAAAUGGAACUCAGACACGUCGCUGAAGACUGGAGAGUCACUCAUCACUCAAAUGGUGGUCUUCUUAGACAAAGAAAUACCAUUAUCACAGCUGUUUAAGUAAAAUCCAACAGUCAAAGGCAACCAAAAAUAGUUAAAAUGAGGCAUAAAACAAAUAGAUUUCACAUCAGACUUCAACGACACUACUUGUAAGCUUGCAUUUCUGCAAAAGUGACUUAAGAAAGGGUGCCGGAUGAUAUGUUUGAGAAACCAAAGAUUGCAUUAGUUAAAUCCGCAUUUAAAUGCACAUUAUAUACUUAGCCAGUCGUAUUGACCAUCCCAAUUAGUCACGAGAAUCAUACAACUCAAGGCUGAUUAUCAAAUCAAAAGGAGUGGUUUGAAAACACAAAAUUUGGAAAAGAUGGCCAAUGGAAAUGUGGUUACAAGUACGAUUGAAUAUGAGAAACAUAACAAACUUGAUAGAUCUUCCUGCUGAAGUUAUUUGCUUUUCUUUUAAUUAGUUCAUAAAAUGUUAUUCGACUAUAAUAGUCAGCAGAAAGACAUCCAGAAAUUUUCUCACUCCAUAAUUGAAUUUAAGAAAAGAAAUUUAUACUAUAAGUUAAGUCUAUGCCAAUGAACAAGUUGCACAAAAUUAGUCCUUAAAUAACUGAAACACGGCAAGAUAUAUUUAUGAAAUACACCAUACUUGCAAGUAAGCUUAGUCAAUUUAAACAAGAAGAAGCAUCAGAUAAAUAAGAUCGUUUAAUAGUAAGAGGCAAAGGAAAGAAUAUUACCCAUGAUGCGAGCCUUAAGGGUGAUGAGGUUGCAGUCUCUUCAGAAAAAAGGGUCAUACUAAAGAACCAGAAGAGUUCUUAAGCCUUGUCUUAGCGCUUGAAAAAAACAAUAUCUCUGCCGCAGCUAACUUUGAUAGCUUCCUCCAAACUCUCCAUCUGAUCAAAAUCAACUUUGAAGGUUACCAUGGUAACACCAUCUUUUCCAGUGUCAUAAUCUUGCUUAAUGUCUUCAGCCCGAAAUGAUUGUAGCUGCAAGAUACACAAAUGGUGUAUUUGUGAGACAACUGUUUACGAUGUUGAGAUGCACUAAUCACAACCUCAUCAAACAAGUCAAUGCAUUGAUGACAUUUAGCAAACUGGUAAUAUAUGAAAAACUGACGUAUGCUCCACAUGUCAAAAUGACAAUCAAAACAUGAUUUGUCAUGACAAUAUUUGACAGUUAAUUAGCCAGCAACACAACCAGAAGAGAACUUAUAAAUCCUCUGAAUCUUACCUGAUGGUAGAGAACCCCCAAAAGGUCAUAUGGAAUCUCCAAGCCCAUUGGAACCUACAAAUCAAGAUCCUUGUCACAAUAUUUAAUUCAUGAAGCAGAUUUCAAUGUGCAAAGUACGAAGUGGAAAAGAAACUUAUAGAAUUAGACUACUAUUGAUUCAAUAGGCACAAGUUUUAGAGAAUGUAAAAGCCAGCAAGGAUGAGUUGUUACUUUGGACUUGACAAGACAAGUGGGGGCAUUUCUCAAACAAUCAGCAGCAACCCCUCCAUAAGCCCUGACUAAACCUCCGGUGCCAAGUUUAAUACCUCCGAAGUACCUAAAUUAUGAAAUGCAAAAAGAUGAACAUCUUGAAUAGCUUCUCUCCCUAGAUAGAAAAGCCAAAUAACAGACUAAUGGAUGUCAAAAACUUAAUGCAUGUAUCAAAAAAUGAAAAUUGUUACGUAAAAACAACACUCUCUACAUUUCAUUCACAAAAGAAACAUUUGAAUCAGAGCCAAAGGGAAAAAAGCAAUAGCAUGGCCCCAAAAAAUGUGCAACAUUUGUCUACCUGAUCACGACUACCAUAACUCUAUCAAUCCCAGAAGAUUCAAUUGCAGAAAGUAUUGGCUUGCCUGCUGUACCAGAUGGUUCACCGUCAUCAUUACUCCGAAACUGAUCCCCAACCUAGAAUUCACAAAUAACUGCAUUUGCGUCGAAAACAACCAACAAACAAAAGGGGCAAAGAGAAAUAAAAGCCUCAUAAUUGAUUCAAGUACCCCAAGAAUCACUAAUAACUAUCAUACCGGAAAAGAUCAAAUUUUGUACCUUAUAUGCCCAACAAUUAUGAGUAGCCUUGGGGUCACGAACCUUAUUUCCAAACAAAACAAAAAAUAAGUCUUUAAUGGCAAAAAUAAAAAAAUAAAAAAAACCAAAAGUAAAAUGCAAGAAAGAAGAGAGGAAGGAGUGAUUAUUAAUACCUCAGUGAGGAAGGCCUGAGCAGAGCGUUCAUUAGAGAUGGUGCCAGCAAUGGCGAUAAAUUUACUCUUCUUUAUCUCUGUCUGAAAUGUGACCCUUUCUUUAAUUGUGGUAAAGGCACCACCUUUUUUAUUAUUAUUGGGAUUAGAAUCAGACGCAGUGAUGCUAUUGCUGCUAAUGGUGGCCAUUGGCGUUAGAUAAAUACAGGGUUUUGUCUGAAUUACGGAGAACGAGGGAAGAAAACGGUGACGGUGAUUCUGAAGAUUGUGAUGGAGAAGAAGGGCUUUGUUCAGAUUCUUGAAAGGGAUUGAGAGAAUCCGCAUAGAAGCAGCCGCCUGCAUCAGCAAAAACCUUAAUUUCUUUCCAUCUAAAACGUUGUCGUGAUGGUGGAAUUCGAUUAAGGUUUCGUUCUUUGUUUUUUAUGCUCAAUUUUGAGGACAGAAAAAUAUGCAAGCAACAAAAUAGUCUUUAGGAUUAUAGAGCACGCUUUAAAAUAUGCAAGCAACAAAAUAUUCUUUAGAAACAUCGAGGCGUGGAACUCUUGAGUAUUAUAUGGGACGCUUUAGAUUGAGGGCGCAAAAGGAUGGGGAUAUUUGGGGGAAAAAAAAAAAAGUUACCCCACAUUUGUGAUUUGUUACUCGAAUAGACAAAAUUUGGAAAAUGCACUUCCAUCCAUUAAAAAGUAACUUUAAGAAGUUAGCCUAGAACGACAUAUGCAUAAUUUGGCUUAAAUACCUACAUUUUGAGAAUUUCCUUGAAAAUGUUAUUUGCGCCAUUUCUGUUAAUUACACUCCCACUAUUAUUUUAAUCAUAUAAUUUUUGUUUGUUAGAACAUAUAAUAAAACAAAUUAUGCUAGUGCAAGUAACAAAAAAUGAGUGCAAAUAAUAUUUCUCUUUUCCUUUUGCUCAAGUUAUGCAAGUAGUAUUUCCUCUGUCAACGAGCAAUUCUUAGGUUUUUUAAUGAAGGACAACAAAAGUAUGAAAAUACAUAUUCAAAUGAUGUCCAUGCCAAAAUAAGAAGACCACCAUGCAAAGAAAUAUGUCAUUGUGAAUUUUAAUAUUAAAUUAUCAAGGCUUACUGCAAAAUAAAAUGUAAAAGAUCAAUAUGAUGUUAAGAGAUGUGAUUCGCUAACUAAAGGUUUUUUCAUGAUUAAAUUGGAUUGGCACUCCUCAAAAAUGCCCCUUUUCAAUCCAAAAGUCUCAUACUAAAUAUGAAAAUAAAAAAAAAAAAACAAACUAAGAUGAUGGUCUUUUCAUUCGAACCUUCAUUUUGUACUAAACAUAGAACUAGAAAUAAGUUAUAAAAACAUGAUCUAUUCAAGUUUAUGUGAAAAAAGUAAAUUUUUCACAAAAAAAUUUUGCAUGUGCUGAUGAGCCAAAAUAAGCAAAAUACCACACUUUCCUAGUAAAUCAAGCACAAAUGCAAGGAAUUGUUUUUGCUUUCUAAUACUAUUGAAAACUAUAAUUUUUUAUUCGCUUCGCUGUCUCCAUCCCCAACGUCGCUUUGGCCGAGUGGUUAAGGCGUGUGCCUGCUAAGUACAUGGGGUUUCCCCGCGAGAGUUCGAAUCUCUCAGGCGACGACUCUUUUACCUUUUCGGCUUCCGUUUGCUCUUACAAUCUCACCGACUACUUUCUAGUAGUUCUUCACUUUUGACCGUUAAACACUUGUUCUUUCUCCGGCUUUCAAGUCAAGACAACUUUUCGUCCACAUUAAUCGGAGAACCUGAAAUGGGAACUGGAAGGGGACCUCACCGGAGAAAGUCAAUGACCACCUCUCCCUCUGUGGCUCUGUCCCCCUCCCCCAUAUAUACCUCUUCUGACUUUUGAAUUGUCUCAAGACCGACCCUAACGCGGUGACUCGGCCAUCCCUCCAACCAGUUUGGUGAACUGGGCAAUCCAGCCAACAACAACUCACCAAUCAAUAAGUCCAAUGCAUUAGGUCCACCCUCUUGACACGUAGCAUUUUCUUUUUUUUUUUUUUCAAGAAAAAUGUUUGGGUACAUUCAGCUCCAAUCAAUACUGGUGUAUACCUCCCGAACCAUAGAUCGCUUACAGAAAUUUUUACAGAUCGCCUACCAACACAGUUUUCACAUUGGCGGCGGGAUUCGCAUACAUAAUCUUUUGUAAAAAAGUGAUUCAUUCUUAUUAAUUGGACCAACUUGUGUAAAAAAGUGAUUCAUUCUUAUUAAUUGGACCAACUUGUGUUGACAUAGCCUUUGUUGUUCAUGAAAAAGGUUGCAUUUCCUUUCAAGUCUGGAGUAGUGACUUAUGGGAAUUGGAAAAUAAGGGUGCAUUUAAUAAAAUUGAAAUUUGAGAUUUGAAAUCUAAAAUCUAAAUUUAGCAAAUUACUAAAUUAUUAAGUACCAAAUUUAAUAGUACAUUUGAGUGUAUGUCACAUUAAGUGAUAAGUGAAUAGCUUAUCACUUAUUUUUUUUAUCCAAAUUUUGUCUUAAAAAAUUCAGCGUCAUUUAAUUAGUUCAAAUAUUUUAUUUUUAGUUAUCAAACGUGUCGAAAUAAGUUAAAAUUUGAAUACACUAAAUUUAAGUGAUGAAUUAGGUUAGCAAACACGGUGGAGUCAAGCUUAACAUUUGGCUGCAAUCAAAGGGUUAACGGCCCCGUCAGUCUAUGACCAUAUUUAAUUUCAAUGAUAAUGUGAACGACUAACAUAUUUUAUCAGCCUCAUUUUUUCUCAAACUUUUUGACAGUUGCCAUUAGCCUCAUCUACCUGAUGGAAUUGGUGUCCUUUAACGUGGUCAAGUGACGUUUUCUUCUUCCAUGGGCCAAUUACUUGGGAAUUUUUUUUCUUUAAUUAUAUGAUUAAAAUUAACACACAAUAAUGACAACAAUACUGAGCACACACAGAUUAAAACUGAUCAACAACAUUACAGCUAAUAACAUUAGAAAAUGUGGGAUGGUAACUAAUAAAUUCACAUUCAGUGAGAUUUAAACCCAAGAUUUGUUUAUUUACAUGAUUUAUAAAUCGUCUCUAUUAAAUUAACCUUUUUAAGUUAGCAUGGCAAAUAAUCAUCAAGCGAUCUGUGUAUCUACAUGAGCAGAAAUUUUACAAAACCAUUAUUUGAAUUACUCUAUAUGCAUAUGUUUUGAUGCCCUCAAAUUGUUCAGAAUACUUCAAUAAACAACCUAUUCAGUCGACACAUUUUUCAGUAUUCAGUAUUUCCAAUCCUUGUGAUAAGGUGGUUAACUGAAGGGUAGAUAUUAAAGUUCUCUUGAUUAAUAUUGAUUAAGUGCAUAAGCAUAUUAUUCUUUCAUCAAAUCCAAUAAAAAAAAUUCCUUAAUCACGCGUUAUAGUGACAUUAGGGUACCCCAAAAAAAAAAAAAAUGAAUCGAAUAUUGAAGCUGUUGAUUUGCAGCAUGGACUCGUUGAGGUUAGGUCGGAGGUUUGCUCAAGGGAGGUAAUAUCUUAGGUAGUGGCUGGAGGACCGGGCGCGUCAUCUAGAUGCAGGAGUUGAGGAGAAACUUUAAAUCAGUGAUGGAAAUUUGAUGCCAAAUAAUGGCCUUAAUUAGUUCUCUUCAUGGUGCUCAGUAUAUUUUUCGUCUAUAACGAACAUAUUCAGAUGCAUGAAUUUAAUUAUGAUGCGACUUUGGGCAGUCUUUCAUGGAUUGCCUGCUAUCAUAAGUAGCAAUUAGUUAUUGAACAGGAAUUGGACUUUUAACUUCUACUAGAGAAAUGCUUUUAAGACGUUAUUGUUUUCAGGUUCAGAUAUCUAUUGUAGAGAAGAUUACUUGACGAUCUAGUAAUUAACUGGAAGAUCUUAAGAAAAAAAAAAAAGAUCAGCUAGCUACUAUAAAUGGUGAAAUUUAAAAAGCGCGGAGAAAAAAGAAAAAUUUAAAUUCAAUAUCUCUAAAUCCUGAAAUCUCAACUUUAUUCAGCAUUGAAAAAUAAUUGUUCGAGAAAUUAUUACGUGUAAAACAUACAUUCAACAGUCAGAAACUCGAUCGUGUGUGUUGACUGGUCAAAAAUAUCUUUAGGGCAGGUCAGAAGAACAUGCUGUUGACUCUUGGCUCUUCUAUCUUGAUUGGGCCAAGGUGGGAAUCCGAUAUUAUUCCACUCUCUGUUCUUUUCUUUUGGCAGAGAAUCGUAUGCAUGAUAACAAAGCGGGUAUGCAGGCUUUGGGUCUGGGGAGGAAAGAAAAGAUGAAAAAUAAAAGAAGAAUGCGUCACGCUCUGACUUGGUUCCCAAAGGCAUCCAUUAUUCAGCUGGAACUCUGCUCUGGUCAAAUUUGCGCUGUGUAGACUACGCAGUAUUGUUCCAACCAUUCCAAGUCGUAAUAAAGCAACUUGUUGGACAACAAUUUCUAUUUUGUGGACGUAAUUCAUCAUGUAAUCAUUAGCAACCCUUCCAGAUUAUGGAGAGCUAAACAAAGUUGUGGUUUCAAUUACCUUCUUAUCUUUCUAACUAUUAUUUUUUAUUUCACAUACCUUACAUGCUAAUAUAACAGGUGCUACAAUAUUUUUUUUUAAAAAAAUAUUUCAAAUAAUCUCCGAUCCAAAAUUAUUAAUUUGGAUAGAAGAGGGAUUUAAAGGUAAGAAUGUGCGACACUUUAUUCUUUUUUAUUCUGGGGUUUAGGAGAGAAAUUGAGAAUUAUAUUUACUUUGCUUGGAAGUUAGUGUAUGAAAGAGAAAUGAAGCAUCCAAAUUAUUCUGACUUUCUCUACCUGUUAAGCAAGAGGUUUACUUUUUUUUUUUUUUUGGUCUACUUUUUUCAAGUUGAGAAACUUGUACAUGUCCAUAAUUACUCGAAAACUUGCAAGGAAACUAUCUUAAGGAAAAAGAGCCAAAAUAGGUAAGUUGCCAAAGCAAAUGGUGCAAAUAUUUGCUAAUUACCUUUCUAGCUCUCGUUGUAUCCACAAUUCACGAGUUCCAAUAAUAAUAAAAAAAAAUAAAACAACAAAAAUGAAUACAAAAUUGAAGUUUUCUAAGACAUUCAUUGAUACUCGAUAACACAUCUAAAUUUCAUCUAACAUAUCGCGCGUGUGCAUGUAUAUAUUGAUAAUUAUUGCCUUCCCUUCUCCUAUUUAUAUAUAUUUUUUAAUUAAUUUUAUUUUUUAAAAAAUUUAACACUUGAAUUAUAUUUUAAAAUGUGCCUAUUGGACACCCGUUAGAUAUAUCCUUAAAAAAUUGCAAAAAGCAAAAAGUUACAAAAGUGUUAAAGGCAUUAAAGAAAAAACUUUGUUGGCCACAGCCCGCAACAACACGAAUUCAUGAAUUCUCGUACUGACCCCCUUAUUCUUCUUUAACAGUAACCAAUAACCUUAGAACUCCGCCAGUUGGCCAAUUUGCAAAGCGCAGGAUGUGGUAGCGUUCUAUUAGGUCAUUAGACAAUUAGUCUCUGACCCCAUAACCGCGUAAACAAAUUCAACCUAAAUUCUACUACUACGCAAGAAACUUCCUUCAUUUCCCAUUUUCAUUUUCCUUUCGUUUCCUUUUUCCUAAAAAUAGUUCCAAUUUCCCCCACUAUAUAUAUGUAAACCUUUCUCCUCCCUUCCCCCUCAAACCAUCAAUCACUUCAAUUUUCUUUCCCCUUUUACCAGCACAUGUCUCAGAGACCCAACGUCCCACACUUCUCCUCCGUCGCCUGCGGCCUCCAUUCCCAUCUCCUGGUUUCCAGUGAGAUGUCCUCUAAUUCCAACUGGUCUUCUUCUGCUCGUACCUUGUAGCUAUUCCACCACCUAGUCUUUUUCCUUAAAUACCCCACAAAAUUAAAAAUUAAAAACCACACACACACUAAACCCAAACAAACAAGGAGAAGAAAGGAAUCAAGAAAAACGCUACUCAUUUUUUCUGAGUUCAACAAAAGAAGAAAAUAUGGGUUUGAAAGGCUUUCUUGAAGGAGGCAUAGCUUCAAUAGUGGCUGGAUGCUCCACCCACCCGCUGGACCUCAUCAAGGUCCGAAUGCAACUUCAGGGAGAAUCCCCCGUCCCCAAACCGGCUGCUCAAGCGCUCCGACCAGCUCUAGCCUUCCACCCUGCAGCUGGUCAGGUUUCUCAUCCUCACAUUCACGUCCCUUCUCCAUCUCUUCGUCCGCCGCCGCCCCGCGUGGGACCCAUUGCCGUGGGAGUCAAGAUUGUCCAGCAAGAAGGGGUCGCCGCGUUGUUUUCCGGCGUCUCCGCCACCGUCCUCCGCCAGACUCUUUACUCCACCACCCGCAUGGGACUUUAUGAUGUUCUGAAGCAAAAAUGGACCGACCCACAUACCAACAAGAUGCCUCUGGAUAGAAAAAUCGCUGCUGGGCUCAUCGCCGGCGCGGUUGGAGCGGCCGUCGGGAACCCCGCUGACGUGGCCAUGGUCCGCAUGCAAGCCGAUGGUCGGCUCCCGGUGGAUCUGCGGCGCAAUUACAAGAGCGUGGUUGACGCGAUUGGUCAAAUGGCUAAAACCGAGGGAGUUGGCAGCCUGUGGCGCGGUUCAUCCCUUACGGUGAACCGCGCUAUGGUGGUGACGGCAUCACAGCUGGCAUCAUAUGAUCAGAUCAAGGAAUCGAUAUUGGAAACGGGUCUGAUGAAGGAUGGGCUUGGGACCCACGUGACCGCCAGCUUCGCCGCGGGGUUCGUGGCGGCGGUGGCGUCGAAUCCGGUGGACGUGAUCAAGACUAGGGUGAUGAACAUGAAGGUCGAGCCGGGGAUGGCCCCACCUUACAGUGGAGCCGUGGAUUGUGCUAUGAAAACUAUCAAGGCUGAGGGCCCACUGGCCCUUUACAAGGGGUUUAUUCCCACAAUCUCAAGGCAGGGACCAUUCACAGUGGUGCUCUUUGUCACACUGGAACAAGUCCGGAAAUUGUUCAAGGAAUUUUGAUUUUUGAGGAUGAUGACGAAGAAAUUAGAAUAAAAAGAAAAUUAUGUUUCUUCUUUUAUGUUCCUGAGAUCUGGGAGUUUGAAUAGCAAGAAAUCUGUCAGAUACUGCAUGUCCUUUGAUUUAUAGUAAAUGGUUAAUUUUUUUUAAUUUGAAUUAUAAACUUGAAACCAACGCAAUUAAAGUAUUCUAUUUUUCAUUAUUUUCAAAGGUCGUGGGAGAAUACGUAAAUCAAUGCAAACUUAUUUGUCUCUUGGACGAACAAAUUAACUUUUACUUUUGGCCGAAUAUCGAACAAAGUCGAUGCAAUUUGACAAAAGGUGAAUUUGAGUGGCUGCAAUUAGUACUAAUUGUUUGUUCAUGUGAGCUAGGGGCUCUAGCUUCUACUUACCCUUUUUUUCCUUUUUUCUAAAUGAGCGGUAUUAGUCUCAUGUUCUUGUUUUUGUAGUCCCAUAAUUACAUAUAAUAUCAGCAAAAAGUUAUAUCCCAAGCUUGAUUUUGGUUUCUUUGUUAAGCAAAAUUCAGUUCCAAAUUAGCAAUAGUAUAUAGUUGUGUUUGGACAGACAUUUUUCGUCCAAAAAUUACUACAUUUUCCGUGAACACAUUUUCCUAUCAUCUUUUUACUUCACAUACAUCAAAUCAAAUCGCUACAGUAAUUUUUUUACAAAAAAUCCAGAAAAAUGCAAUCCAAACACAACCUAUUAUAUUGUUGAAUUCAGUUGGACUUUGUACUCAAGUGGAAUAUUCGAAGCUCAUAUGCGCUGCUAAAAAGUGCUGGUAUAUUCUUAUAAGAUAUGUAUAUAUUCUUUAGUUAUGGCUAAAAUUGAGACCUUCAGAAAUUAAAAGUCUUUUUUGUUUUUUGAAUCUCACCUCUUAUGUGCCAAAAAAAAAAAAAGUUCUUUAGCUAGAAGUGAUCGUUGUAAGAUAUGUAUUUUCUCAAGCUAAGAAGUUAUUUAAGGAUCAAUAAUAAUUAUUCUUUUAUGUUUUCAAACAAACUUUAUGAAAAACGAAUGUAUUUAAGUAUAGGUAAAUUCUUUCUCAAUAAGUGAAGAGGAAAAGAACAAAAAAAAAAAAAGGGUUGCAUGAUCUUCACAUGCAAUGAAGGUAUUAUCAAACAGAGACGUUAAAUGUAACUUUUACCUGAGUCUUUGGCGUUUACGUAGGACAACAUGAAAGGUUGUGGACAUGGAUUUUUAUUUAUUUUUUGCAAUUUCUUGUCAAGAUGAGAAUGUGAAUGGCCAAUAGGCCAAACGAUGAAUGUCGAAAUGCUGCCGACCUGUCAAGAUGAGAUAAUCAUAUGAACCAUGGAAUUAUUUCUUUUUGUUGUUUAUGAAAGUGGAGAUGUGGAACCUAGCACCUUCAACGGGCAGCAACUCUUGGAAUUGGCUGUAAUCGUGGCUACGACAAACCAUGUUGGAGGAUCAAUUGGUCCAGCACAAGAAGUAAUUCAAUUCUCACGUUGGGUGGUGUUAAAUUGAAGGUAUUAUUCUUUUCUUAUAUAUAAGAAUUUGGUAAAUAGUAGUUAUGUUAAGUUUUUCCUGGACUUGUCACUCACAAAAAGUAAUACGUACUAAUUUUGAGGGGAAGGAUGGGUCGUAGAAGACGGUGUAAGCGAGAGGAAUCGGAUUUCGAGACUUCCUACUUAAACUUUGAAAAAAAAAAAAAAAAAGUAACACCAAAUAUAUAUCUCAACCAUUCCAUUAAGUGAUAGUGUAUUAACAAUACAUCAUCUAACAAUUGUAUCAGUCAUGCAAAAAUGCAGGCACAUUGGUUUUGCAAAAACCCAAAUGCUAUUCAUUAGACAAAUACGAGGGAUUAAUGUGAUAUCUGGUAAAAUGAGAAAUUAUUUAUUUAGCUUUAAUAGUUGAUUCAAGAGAAAGAAAAAACAUAUAUAGAUGGGAGUGCCACACAACUGUAGGCACAUCGGUGGGAGGAUUCUUUUAUGUUAGUUCUAAUUUCUGGAAAAAAUUUUGUGGAAGAGAGAUGUCUUUAUUCAUGAGAACAGAAAUGGUAUGUGGCAGGAGACAGGAUGCUAGGAGUUUAAUCUUAGAACAGAAUGGAAAAGGAAAACUUGCAUACCAGUUACGUAACGACAGAACAACUAUAUACGGGAUGUAUACGCUUAUUUUGGCCGCAAAGGAAAAGCAAGGACCUGAAUCAUGCAUGCCAUUCAGAAAUUUCCAGGUGAAAUAGACCGGUGGCCAACUUUCCUUCGUUCCCUGUAUUGAAGAACUUCCGUCAGGCUGAAAAUGACUGGCAAGAUAGUAUCAAGUGGAGAAACUCGCUUGAUUUCCAACGUCAAGUGGUUAAAAAUUGGGUUAAUUACAUUGAGGUUGAGUGGCUGCUAUUGGACAUAGUUGUUAAUUGCAAACGAGUAGAAAGUCAUGUAGGCCUACUCCUGUUUAAAUCUUGAUUAGUUAAUCUAAUUAUUUUUGUCUAUGAUCCGAUAUCCUUGGGUCGGUCUUGUAGCAUGUUGUCAACUAUUUCUGAUUUUUGGGUUUGAUUUUCAAUUUUUGAAAAAACCAAUUUUUUUUUUUUUUUUUUUUUACUUACAAAGAAACCCAUAAAGCAUGUAUCUUCUAACUUGUCAUAUUGACUUCUUUUUUUUUUUUUUUUCUCUUUUAAAGCAUCUUGACUUCAAAAAAUCAGUUAAGAACAAGCCACCAAUUAAAAGAAAAAACUCUCUCUCUCUCAUGUGCUUGACUAAAGAUUCCUUGAUUAUGUGCAUUUAGUAUCUCCAAACUGAAACCAUCCAAAUUACGUUGCAGAUAUUAAAAUAAAAUUAACCCUUUUAUCAAAAAAAAAAAAAAAGAAAAUUAUCAUCUCAUUGCUUAUAAAAUGAGUUGGACGAUUUUGCCUCUUCAAAAUUCAAUAGCUAUGGACAAUGAAGUGCCACCAUGACCCAAAUUAUAUUGUGUCUCAAAAAUCAAGCUAAUCACAAAGAAAAUAGAGUGCUCAGCUCAUUAUAUUAGAUUUAAUAGUAGGGUUAAUGCUGAUUAGUGUUCGUAGUUUGGUGGCCAAAGCGUGUUUGCACGUUGAGGGUUUCUUUUUGUCGUAAAUCGCUAGAAGCUGUUGCCUGUGGAUCCUAUUUUUGCCAGGCUCCAGCCCUCGGGAAUCAAACCUUCAUUCCAAUGAAAUUCCGAGGGGUGCCAUAGGAAAUUUCUGAGAUAAUUUUUGGUUAUUUGGGAUAAUUUUUUUGAAUGAUGUGAUAUAUGUGAGAUAAAAAGGUAAUUGAAAAUGUGUUAAUGAUACAAGCAAAUAAAUCUUGACAAAUAAUUGGCUAUCCAAACAUGUUAGGAGAGGGCUGGCCAAAGGUGUUCAAUUAAUUACAUUUUGUAUUAAGGUUUAAGAUAACUUUGUAAUUGGGUACUAUAAGAGCGAAUGAGUAAACAUUCUGUGCAACAAUACAUACAAACUAUUUGUGAAAGUGAAAAUUUUCAAAUGUAUGUGUUAUACCAAAUUAACAUAUGAAUGCACAUGCUGAUAUGCAUUGUGUUGCCUUAUAUUUAAAUAAUUUUCCUAUUUAACUUUAGUUGUUUACAAAACCGAUAUUGAUCUCUCUUAAUUAGUACCCGUUAGACACUUGUCAAACAGACCAUUUAUAUAUUAAAAAAAUUUUUGAGCUUCACAUUUAAUAUAUAGUUUACUAUUUUUGGAAAAAAAUUUUUAUAGUUACUUUCUUUGUCUUAACGACACAUCGAAUCUAACCUAAUCUACUCCUACAGUCCUAUUCCUACUUGGGGGGAGCCUAUUCUAGGAGGUGGUUCAACUGAGUCGAGGGAACCUAAUGAAAACUGAACCACCAUCAGACCAAAUUACACCACGCAUCCGUAUGAAUUUAGAACAAUACUCAUAUAGAGGUGCAUUGAUGGGAGGUAAGGUUCUCCCACCUCACAAUUAAUGUGGUGACUAACUCUUUUAGAGGGGGUUGGUUUUUUAUAAUUGUUCUUUAAUAGGAAUUCUAUGCUGUUCAAAAGUAGUUUGGACAAGUAACAUGAAAUGAGCGUAGUGGCGGACGGAGCGCAGAGGAUUUAUUCUAGGGAAAUGGAACUUUUGUGCAUAAGACAGCCCCAUGAAUUCAUGGAGGAAAUGGCUCCCGGGAGGUGCCUUGAUUCCCAGAGCAAUCAUUCACCUAAGAAUACAUGUCAUGCACGAUAUUAGAUGCAUGUACCUGCCUGGAUCCUGAAAACAACAUCCAAAGAAUUCCUUUGUCUUGUCCCUUUUAUAAUUUCAACCAGUCAAAUGAUUGUCCCAUCAUCUUUUUCUGUCUGGAAAAAAAAUUGUAUGCUGUUAUUGGAUGUUUGGUUUGUACCCAGAAACUAGAAUGAAUACCAAAUUCCACUUAGAAAGGCUGUCAACUAGCUAGGAGCCACCAAGCCACUAGCAGUCUAAUGCCUAAAAUAGGCUACUAUUCAACUGCAACAUUUUAGUUUAACACCAAUGCUUCAACUCAAAAGGGAAUUUUAUAUACGAAAUGAGGAAAUAAAACCAAGGAGAUUUUGAGCAAAAUAAAAAAUUUCAAUUAAUGUAAUACAAUCUUGUGGUUACACUUGACAAAAUUGUAAACCAUGAAAGCACUUCAUGGAGAUCAUCAAAGGUCAAGAGGUGGCCUAAAAGCAGGGGCGGAGGGAAGGGGGGCGGUCCAAUUGUUAAAAAAAAAUUUAUAAGUAAAAAUUUGUUUAUUAUAUUGUUUUGCCCCCCCAAAUAUUGAUAAAAAAUUUCACUUUGCCCCCCCUCCAAUUGUUAUAAAAAAAUUUCUAAGUAAAAAAAAUUUUUCUUAUAUUGUUUUGCCCCCCCAAAAUAUUGAUAAAAAUUUUCACUUUGCCCCCUCCUAAGGACCCAAAUAAUAAUGUUUGAAAGUUAUUUGGACUUUGUCCAAAUAACAGAGACUCGCCCCCCUAAUUGCAAUUCCUAGCUCCGCCACUGCCUAAAAGCAACAGUGAAGUUGCUAUAACAGGCAUUGAUUCUUUUAAACAAAACAUCAUGGUUACUGAUUGUUAAGAGACACAAAACAAAAAAGUGCUAUAAUGCUUUUUUCACAAAAUUAUCUCAAAUAAUUUACAAUCCAAACACUGUAGUUUCAUUAGAGAAAAUAUUUGCUCCAGGUUGAUAAACACCAUUUACUGCAUUCCUUUCUUAGUUGGAAAACAUUAGCGUCUCCAUUUAAUGGAGUAAUUUCAUAAACCUCCCUUGAGAUUUUUGAUAAUUUCACUUAGCACCCUUAAACUUUUAAAAAUAUCAUUUACUUCUCUUAUUUUCAAAUUUUUGUAGCAUUCUCAAACCAAUUCAAAUUAUAUGUUUACAAUACUCAUUUUAGGAAAGAGAAAAUAAUUUGUUUCCAAUAAUGCCCUUUCAUUUUUUAAUUUUUUAAUUGUAAGAAUAAUAAUCAUAUGUUAAAAAUAAGGACAAAAAAUGAAAAUGUUCUUUUUUUAAAGGAACAACAUAUAAUAAUUGCAACCAUAAACAAUAAACUUUUUUAAAAUACAAACAAAUAAUAAAAUUUUGUUUAACAUGUUUUCAAAUUAUAAAGUAAUUUUUUCCCUUUAAUGUUUGUCUAUUUGGUACUCUAAAGUCACAUGGUAAGAAAUAUGAUCCGUUUGGAUGAGCUAUUUCUAGAGAUGUUUUUGAAAUAUUUUACUGUAACAAUGGACCUGUUUGGAAUCGAAUUUUUUGGCCAAGUUUUUUAGUUACUAGUUUUUUAACAACUUUACCUACAGGAAUCCAAAAAAACUUAUUAAAAUUUUUAACCUACAUAUUUCAAAAUAUCUAAUACACAAAAAACUUCAUUUUUUCUUCUUCAUUCUCCCCCGUCCCGAUCAACCACACCUUCAUCGCUGGCCACCACCUCCACCGCUACUUUCGGCGUCGGCCACCUACUCCGACGCCGGCCUUCCCCUUUUUUUUUUUCCUUCCUUUCUCCCUCUCCAUCUCCCUCUCCCCCUCUCCUUCCCUCCCCUCUCUCCUUCCCCUCCCUGGCUACCCUCCCCCUUUCCUAGCUGCUAUCUGGUCAUGCGACCGGAUUGGGCAAAAGGGGAGGGGGAAGGAAAGGAGAGUAGAAAAGGGGAGGAGAUGAGGAGAGGAAGAUGGAGAAGAGGGGAAAAGAAAAGGCAAAAAAAAAAAAAAAAAAAGUGCACGCCAUGGCUACUGGUUCUCUAGCUUCUGGAGGGAGAGGGGGAGGGUGAAGGGGAGUAGAGGGGGAGAGGGGAGCAGAAGGAGAAAAGGGGAAGAGAAAAAGAAAAAAAAAAUUGGGACCAUGGUUGCUGGUUCAUCUAGUACCGCGAGGGAAGAGGGAGAGGGAAGGAAGAAGAAGAAGAAGAAAGGAAAGAACGAGAAAAAGGAAAGAAAAAAAGAGAAAAAGAAUGAAAAGAAAAAAAAAAUGGUAGGACCAUGGCUGCUGGGAAGGUAGAGGUAACGGCGGAGGGAAGGGGGAGGGGGAAGGAAGAAGAAGAAGAGAGGAAAGAAAAGAAAAAGGAAGGAAAGAAAAAGAAAGAGAAAAAGAAAAAGAAAAGGAAAAAAAAGUUUUUCAUCUUAAAAAAUUUUUCCAAAAAUUUCUACAGUGCACUACAGUAAAGUUUAGAAGUUUUAGACAAAUUUUCAAGAACGUCAAGUUCCAAACGGGGCCAAUGUAGUUGAAAAAUAUUUAUUAUAGAUGUUUUUAAUAGUGUUUUUGAAAAUAUAUUUUGAAAUAUUUUUAAAAUUUAAAAUUUUAAUGGAAUAUUUAUAAAAUUUUAUAAUCACCCAUCACUAUCCCACCACCCCUUCUCUUCUCCCUUAUCCUCCUUCUACUUCUUCGUCCUCCCUCCUUCCCCCUCUUCCCCUCCCCUUUUUCAUGUCUUUCUUUCUUCCUCUUUUUUCUCCUCUCUUCUCCUUCCUCUUUCUCCUCUAUCCCUCCCCUCCUCCCUACCCUCUCUCACCACCCCUCUCUCUAGUCGUGAGUUGCAACUAGAAAAUGGACGCUGCUUGCGACCAAAUUCGGUUGCAAUUGGAAGGGGGAAGGGGGCAAUGAGAGAGUCAUGAGGAGGAAGGAGGAGGGAAGAGGAGGAAGAGGGCAGGGGAGGGAAGAGGAAGAAAGGGGAAGGGAAGAGGGAGGAUGAGAAAAAAGGGGAGAGACGAGAGAAGGAGAAGGAACAGCGGGUGGUAGUGUGUUUUUAUUGGUUGUUGUUGUUGUUGAUGGUGGUGGUAUAUAUAUAUUUUUUUGAUAUUUGAAGUUGUUUUUAAUACAUUGUAUGAAUGUGAUAUUUUUGAGGUUAUUUUUAUUUGUGUAUUAUUAUAACAUAGUAUAUGAAAAACUUUUUUUUUUUGAAAAAAUGAGGAAUCCAAAUGGAGUUAUUGUUAUUGUUUUUUUUUGACAAAAAUGUAGAUUUCUUCUACAAAAGUGUUGUAAUUUAGGAGACUAUUUAUAAUUUAAAAACUUCAGUGUUUGUCCAACCUUAUUUAUCCAUAUGUUUAUCACAUGCUCUUAGGUUAUCGAAUGAGAAAAAUCUUUCUUUUUAUGUAAAAUGGUUUGAUUGAAUCUAAUAAAUUUUAUGAACUAUUUAGAAUCUUUAAUUUUUAUUUAUUUGAAUCAAUGGCUUGAAAAUUUAGAAAAGGGAAAAAUUUUUAAAUUACAUUGAGAAUUUAUUUGAGUUGUUUAGAAGACAAAAAAAAAGUUAUUUUUCACAUCUUUACAAUAUUGCAAAUAAUUUUCACAUACUUUGUUAAUUAUUUAUGAUUUUUCAAUUUAAAAUUUUGCCUCCAAAUUGUAGAUAAGAUUUGUUAAAGAUUUCUCAACUCUAAACUUGUAAUUUUUUUUUUAACUAAAAAACACAUCCAUCAAGUUUUUAAAUAUAAAAGGAUUUUAAAUUGAUUUGUCAUUACAGCUAAGGGAUCACAAUAAAAGAGCAACUUUAGAAUAAAAUAACUUUCUCUUUCCUAAACAUAGUAUUUUAAUGAUAUAAUUAGAAUUGGGUUGGGAAUGUGAUAAAAAUUUGAAAAUAAGGGGGAAAAGUGAUAUUUUUAAAACUUUAAGAGUACUCAGUGAAACUAUAAAAAACUUCAAGGGAAAUUUCUGAAAUUAUCCCCCAUCUGAUCCUCCUGUUUGUGGCUCAUAUUUACUUGAAGAAAUUAGAGGUGUCAAAAUGGUUGAUUUGGACGGGUUUGGAUGAGUUGAAAUAGAUAAUGGGUAUAAAUAAGUUAAUUCAUUUAUACCCAUUUAAUUAGAUAGGUAUAAAUGGGUAAUUCAAAAAAUGAAUUGGGUAAUUCAAUUACCAUUUAUAUCCCAUUUAUUUUAACUUUUUAUAAACUCAUUUAAAUUUAUUUUUGCAAACUAAAUUAUCAAUUGAUACCACUCUUUGCAUCCAUCAUUAUCAAUAAGCCUAAUUACUAAAAGAAUAUAAAAAUUUGAACUAAUUACCAUGAAAGUUAAUAUAAAAACUUAAUCUAAAAACUUUGAACCGCUUACAAUUUUUUUGUAUGUAAAUUUAAAAUUUCAUUUUGGAAAGGUAGGAGAGGAGACUAAAACUUAUCAUAAAUUGGUAAUGCUAAAAAAUGAACAAAUUAAUAAACUAUGAAAAGAUAAAAUGAUAAGAUAAAACCAACAAAUCUUAUACAUAUAUAAAAUGGGAAUCGCUUGUGAACAGUGCCUAUGGUCCGGUUAUGCUGUGAUUUUUGUGAGCCUGAGGGGUGUUAUGGACCUUAUGGUCUUUUGGAGUCGAGUGGGAGUGGUUUUGCUGGAAAUUCACCGUCCCCACGUGUUGUUCUCGGACGGCAACAAGUUUAGCGGUGAGUUGAGCUGGAUGCAUCAAGCGCUGCUUCAAAGUAUUGCAAUCUUCAUUACUUUUUCUUAUUGUUUUCUUAGCCGGGAAUCGCUUGUGAACAGUGCCUAUGGUCCGGUUAUGCUGUGAUUUUUGUGAGCCUGAGGGGUGUUAUGGACCUUAUGGUCUUUUGGAGUCGAGUGGGAGUGGUUUUGCUGGAAAUUCACCGUCCCCACGUGUUGUUCUCGGACGGCAACAAGUUUAGCUGCUUCAAAGUAUUGCAAUCUUCAUUACUUUUUCUUAUUGUUUUCUUAGCCGGGAAUCGCUUGUGAACAGUGCCUAUGGUCCGGUUAUGCUGUGAUUUUUGUGAGCCUGAGGGGUGUUAUGGACCUUAUGGUCUUUUGGAGUCGAGUGGGAGUGGUUUUGCUGGAAAUUCACCGUCCCCACGUGUUGUUCUCGGACGGCAACAAGUUUAGCGGUGAGUUGAGCUGGAUGCAUCAAGCGCUGCUUCAAAGUAUUGCAAUCUUCAUUACUUUUUCUUAUUGUUUUCUUAGCCUUGUCUCCGUUACUUUCUCUUAUUCUUUUCUUGACUUUCUCUACCCAGCGUUUUUUCCGUUCCUCAUUCUCCAAUCUUUUUUCUCUAUUCUUUUCUUAGCUUCUCUGCCCAGUGUUUUGCCCUUUCCUCGUUUUCCUAUUGAGUUCUCUACUAGACUGCAAAUAAUUGAGCAAGUGAAUUGCGCAUCAGAGCACGGGUGCUUUGCAGAUGUUUAAUGUUAGUUAUGCUCUAUUUUAUUGGUUUGCAUAGCCAUUCAUGCAGAGCAACAAAUCAAAGUAAGGCUCAUGUAUCCGCGCUCUUGAUGUCUGACCCAGAAGUUUGGCCAUGAAUAUAUAUGUUUGCAUGUAUGGAUGAAUGACGACAAUUAUUCCUGAUAGUUAGUCUUGCUGUAAUUGCUCCUUCUGUUGCUGCCAUUUCUUUGCUUUAAUGCAGCUGCUGCUUGGGUUUGGUAUAGCAAUGGUGGUCAAAAAAUGCAUCAAAUAUUUGCUAAGGCUGAAAAAUAAAACAUUCCAAUACAUACAAGGUUUCAGCAAUAUUAAUGCAUGAAAGUCCCCAACAAUAAGUUCAAUAAUCAAAAGCAAGCUCAAAUUUCUUCUAAAUGGAUGGAAGGCUUGAAAAAGAUAAUUCUAAAUGAAUUAAUUAGAUUUGAUAAUAAAUGGAUAUUAUUACCAUUUAUAUCCAUAUGUCAAAAUUUAAAGAUACCCAUAUACAACUAUUCAUAGGUGGGUGUGGGUAAAUUUAGCUAAAUGCGCUGCAACGAAGCAGCCAUUCCUCAAUUCUUCUAUCGUUAUCGGUGUAUGAGAAAUCGAAGGGGCAUCAUUUGGAGUUUUCCUUCUAUGUCUGUGUAUUUCUUUACAAUUCUAGUAGAAGCAUCCUAGGAUAGCAUCGACCGCACUUCCAUAAUCGAUCCGGGAGGUUCCGCGUCUUUUUGUUGUAGUGCAUUCCCGAGCAAUUGUUGCAUCCGUGAGGCAAAAAUAUCAUCUAAAACCUGCAAAUCCGAAUCUUUGUUGUCAUGGUAGUAUUUAUCAUAUUACUGGAUCUUAUUAGACUCUCAUCUUUACUUCCAUAAAUCAAGGUCAAAUCAGUCGGAAACCAUUCAAUUACUGGAAUAAAAA